RNAcentral lists this ribosomal RNA (426 nucleotides) under uncultured bacterium. RNAcentral's name for it is "bacterial SSU rRNA". It matches the Rfam family "Bacterial small subunit ribosomal RNA", at positions 356 to 774 of the family's 1533-position model. The record is from RNAcentral.
GGGGAAUUUUGCGCAAUGACCGUAAGGUUGACGCAGCAACGCCGCGUGUAUGAUGAAGGCUUUCGGGUCGUAAAGUACUUUCAGCAGGGAAGAAUGGUAAGGGGAGUAACUGCCCUUUAAUUGACGGUACCUGCAGAAGCAGCCCCGGCUAAGUCCGUGCCAGCAGCCGCGGUAAUACGGAGGGGGCAAGCGUUGUUCGGAGUCACUGGGCGUAAAGAGCCUGUAGGCGGUCCGUCACGUCGGAAGUGAAAACUCAGGGCUUAACCCUGAGCCUGCUUUCGAUACGGGCAGACUUGAGGGAUGUAGGGGAGAACGGAAUUCCUGGUGGAGCGGUGGAAUGCGCAGAUAUCAGGAGGAACACCAGUGGCGCAGGCGGUUCUCUGGACAUUUCCUGACGCUGAGAAGCGAAAGCGUGCGGAGCAAACA